AACGCUGGCGGCGUGCCUAAUACAUGCAAGUCGAACGAACUCUGGUAUUGAUUGGUGCUUGCAUCAUGAUUUACAUUUGAGUGAGUGGCGAACUGGUGAGUAACACGUGGGAAACCUGCCCAGAAGCGGGGGAUAACACCUGGAAACAGAUGCUAAUACCGCAUAACAACUUGGACCGCAUGGUCCGAGUUUGAAAGAUGGCUUCGGCUAUCACUUUUGGAUGGUCCCGCGGCGUAUUAGCUAGAUGGUGGGGUAACGGCUCACCAUGGCAAUGAUACGUAGCCGACCUGAGAGGGUAAUCGGCCACAUUGGGACUGAGACACGGCCCAAACUCCUACGGGAGGCAGCAGUAGGGAAUCUUCCACAAUGGACGAAAGUCUGAUGGAGCAACGCCGCGUGAGUGAAGAAGGGUUUCGGCUCGUAAAACUCUGUUGUUAAAGAAGAACAUAUCUGAGAGUAACUGUUCAGGUAUUGACGGUAUUUAACCAGAAAGCCACGGCUAACUACGUGCCAGCAGCCGCGGUAAUACGUAGGUGGCAAGCGUUGUCCGGAUUUAUUGGGCGUAAAGCGAGCGCAGGCGGUUUUUUAAGUCUGAUGUGAAAGCCUUCGGCUCAACCGAAGAAGUGCAUCGGAAACUGGGAAACUUGAGUGCAGAAGAGGACAGUGGAACUCCAUGUGUAGCGGUGAAAUGCGUAGAUAUAUGGAAGAACACCAGUGGCGAAGGCGGCUGUCUGGUCUGUAACUGACGCUGAGGCUCGAAAGUAUGGGUAGCAAACAGGAUUAGAUACCCUGGUAGUCCAUACCGUAAACGAUGAAUGCUAAGUGUUGGAGGGUUUCCGCCCUUCAGUGCUGCAGCUAACGCAUUAAGCAUUCCGCCUGGGGAGUACGGCCGCAAGGCUGAAACUCAAAGGAAUUGACGGGGGCCCGCACAAGCGGUGGAGCAUGUGGUUUAAUUCGAAGCUACGCGAAGAACCUUACCAGGUCUUGACAUACUAUGCAAAUCUAAGAGAUUAGACGUUCCCUUCGGGGACAUGGAUACAGGUGGUGCAUGGUUGUCGUCAGCUCGUGUCGUGAGAUGUUGGGUUAAGUCCCGCAACGAGCGCAACCCUUAUUAUCAGUUGCCAGCAUUAAGUUGGGCACUCUGGUGAGACUGCCGGUGACAAACCGGAGGAAGGUGGGGAUGACGUCAAAUCAUCAUGCCCCUUAUGACCUGGGCUACACACGUGCUACAAUGGAUGGUACAACGAGUUGCGAACUCGCGAGAGUAAGCUAAUCUCUUAAAGCCAUUCUCAGUUCGGAUUGUAGGCUGCAACUCGCCUACAUGAAGUCGGAAUCGCUAGUAAUCGCGGAUCAGCAUGCCGCGGUGAAUACGUUCCCGGGCCUUGUACACACCGCCCGUCACACCAUGAGAGUUUGUAACACCCAAAGUCGGUGGGGUAACCUUUUAGGAACCAGCCGCCUAAGGUGGGACAGAUGAUU
RNAcentral lists this ribosomal RNA (1479 nucleotides) under Lactiplantibacillus plantarum. Its description in RNAcentral is "bacterial SSU rRNA". It matches the Rfam family "Bacterial small subunit ribosomal RNA". Lineage: Bacteria; Bacillati; Bacillota; Bacilli; Lactobacillales; Lactobacillaceae. The record is from RNAcentral.